AAGCCAUGCAUGUCUAAGUAUAAGCAAACUAUACGGUGAAACUGCGAAUGGCUCAUUAAAUCAGUAAUCGUUUAUUUGAUAGUACCUUACUACAUGGUUACCUGUGGUAAUUCUAGAGCUAAUACAUGCUGAAAACCUCGACUUCGGAAGGGGUGUAUUUAUUAGAUAAAAAACCAAUGCCCUUCGGGGCUCCUUGGUGAUUCAUAAUAACUUAACGAAUCGCAUGGCCUUGCGCCGGCGAUGGUUCAUUCAAAUUUCUGCCCUAUCAACUUUCGAUGGUAGGAUAGUGGCCUACCAUGGUGGCAACGGGUAACGGGGAAUUAGGGUUCGAUUCCGGAGAGGGAGCCUGAGAAACGGCUACCACAUCCAAGGAAGGCAGCAGGCGCGCAAAUUACCCAAUCCCGAUACGGGGAGGUAGUGACAAUAAAUACUGAUACGGGGCUCUUUUGGGUCUCGUAAUUGGAAUGAGUACAAUCUAAAUCCCUUAACGAGGAACAAUUGGAGGGCAAGUCUGGUGCCAGCAGCCGCGGUAAUUCCAGCUCCAAUAGCGUAUAUUAAAGUUGUUGCAGUUAAAAAGCUCGUAGUUGAACCUUGGGUCUGGCUGGCCGGUCCACCUCACCGCGAGAACUGGUCCGGCUGGACCUUUCCUUCUGGGGAACCCCAUGGCCUUCACUGGCUGUGGGGGGAACCAGGACUUUUACUGUGAAAAAAUUAGAGUGUUCAAAGCAGCCUUUGCUCGAAUACAUUAGCAUGGAAUAAUAGAAUAGGACGUGCGGUUCUAUUUUGUUGGUUUCUAGGACCGCCGUAAUGAUUAAUAGGGAUAGUCGGGGGCGUCAGUAUUCAGCUGUCAGAGGUGAAAUUCUUGGAUUUGCUGAGACCACUACUGCGAAAGCAUCGCCAGAUGUUUCAUAUCAGGACGAAGUAAGGGGAUCGAGACGAUCAGAUACGUCGUAGUCUACAUAACUAUGCGACUAGGGAUCGGA
Molecule: ribosomal RNA, 983 nt
Filed under: uncultured Ascomycota
Lineage: Eukaryota; Fungi; Ascomycota
Description: SSU rRNA
Rfam family: Eukaryotic small subunit ribosomal RNA
Source: RNAcentral